GACGUAGGGGGCCAGCGUUGUUCGGAAUUACUGGGUGUAAAGGGUUCGUAGGCGGUGCGGCAAGUUGGGAGUGAAAUCUCUGGGCUCAACCCAGAGGCUGCUUCCAAAACUGCUGUGCUUGAGUGUGAGAGAGGCUCGUGGAAUUGCAGGUGUAGCGGUGAAAUGCGUAGAUAUCUGCAGGAACACCCGUGGCGAAAGCGGCGAGCUGGAUCACUACUGACGCUGAGGAACGAAAGCUAGGGGAGCAAACAGG
This 253-nucleotide ribosomal RNA is filed under the name uncultured bacterium. RNAcentral's name for it is "partial 16S ribosomal RNA". It matches the Rfam family "Bacterial small subunit ribosomal RNA", at positions 524 to 776 of the family's 1533-position model. The record is from RNAcentral.